GGGGGGCAGAGCUCCCUUGUCUUUGCCAGCGAGGCAGCUUGUUUAUCUAGCGAGCUCUCUUUCCUCCCAGCCCUACCUGCCUGCCUGCCUUGCCUGCCUCCUUUGGCUUUUCCGAUCGUGAUGGGACUCGGAUUGCUACCGAACGCGACCCCUAAUGGAUUACAGGGAUGCGGCUGGGCUCCACGCCCUUCCACCGGGGCAGCGAACGGGUAAGGGAUUUUUCAGCUCUCGUUUUCCACCACCACCUCCUCCUCCUCCUUCCCCCCAUUUUAUUCCUGACUCGUCUGCAUCGCUGCAGGGCUUCCUACUUUCGCUCAGGCGCCGGAGAAUGACUCCGUAAGUCAUAAAAGAAAGUGGGCAAGGCGGGCGCCCAUCACCAUCACCAUCACUGCAAGCGCCUGUGAUUUUUUUCUUCGCCCAAGCUGAGGCAACAGAGGCGAAGAGGUGCGGUGGGUUAGGCUUGGAAGCGCUUCGUCGCCUUCUGCUGCCACCUGCCUGGCUUUUGAGGCUUCCAUGGCACGGAGAACAAGGCUGAGAUAGGCACUCUCCGCCCCACUAGCGUGGCUCGCUAGUGGAAUUGAAUGCCUCUGAGGUUGGGGAGGCAAGAGUAGGUUUGGAAGCAAGAGAAACUGCCGAAGCAGAAUUAAAAAAACAUCCCCAAAAACUACUAGCAAAAUUAUUUGGACCGAGAUGUCCUGCAAUUUCUACUUGUGCGCUGUUGCCUCGUCCCCCCCCCCCUCUUUAGUGGUUUUUCUUAACAGCAGGAUUCCAUCCGCAUGCCUUUCCUUAUCAACAGGUGUGUGUGUGUGUGUGUGUGUGUGUGUGUGUGUCCGUGUCCCCAUCCGGGUCACUAGUAAUGAGCAAAGCUGAGCGCUCCUACGACCAGAUUUGCUGCAGGGAGACUGGCUUACGAUCUGUGGUUUCUUCUGUGCUGGGGAGUCCGACUUUUCAUCCGAUUAAUCCUACCAAGAUGACUGGGAGGGCGUGGAGGAGGAGGGGGGGAAAUCCUAAACAGAAAACAAGACCCUGUCUUGCAAAGCGAAGGCCAAAUGUUUGCAGUCGUGAAAACAUCAGGGGAUUGUUAAAACUGUACCUUGCGGGAGGGAUGGCAAGGAAUGUUUGUGUCAUACUGUCGGAUAUAUAUAAUAGUUUUGGAAUGGAUCGAGCAGCAGCUAGAUGGUUUUUUCUAGGGCGGUCAAAACACUUCCUAGUGUGCAUUGUCAUAAAGAGCAAGACGCAUGUGGCGUGUUCCACGGUAGCUAACGCGUGGAAGGUUUAAGCAGACACCAAUAUGUCUGCAACGUAGCAGGUACUUACUCUUAUGUAGCAAGACAGCGACUUCUGGAGUAAAGGCGUUGCGGAUUAUUGUGGUCUAGAGGGAGGAUGACAUCACCAUGGUGCUCAGACGUUUUCAAAAAUAUAUUUUAUAUCGAUCAGGCCUAAUUGAACCAAGGGAGAUUAUCUGUCUGUCUUUCUGGCAGUGAGCAGGGUGACAUGAGGAUUCAAUACGUUUAUUUUCAUAGCAACAAUUAUGGGAAGGGGAAUAAUCCAUAUAGCUCAAGACAGUCCAAUCUUAUCCAUGUUUAAUUGGCAGUGAAUAAAUUCCUUACAGUGGGAAUUAAUUGUUAAGUAAAUAUGGCAUAAUAUUGCAGACUGGUUACAAAUAUCUAAUAUAUUUCCCCUAUAACUUUGCUGUUGUUGCUAUGUAGCCUUAGGCGUCUUUAUUUCUAUUUAAAAUGUUACGCUGAAUCACCUCAUUUAUUUAUUUAUUUUUAAAGCAGGGCUGUUGUCCGGUCUAGACAAAUCAUUUUUUUUAAAAAAAGGUCUAUUAUCUCUUCCGGAAUGUAGAUUAUUAUGUUAUGUUAUGUUAUGUUAUGUUAUGUUAUGUUAUGUUAUGUUAUGUUAUGUUAUGUUUAUUAUGUUAUGGUCUUCCUGAAAACUGGUUUACAUAAUGUGAUUUAUACAUGCAUUAAAUAUAUUAAUGUAAUGUUGCUUAUACAUCAGUUUUGUUUAAGGGCCGUACUACUAUGCAUAAAUAUUUGAUCACCCCACAAUUUAAAAUAACUUAUCGGUGAUAGGAAUAAAUUUCAAUCUUGCUAAUGCACUCAAAUUUUAUUCUGUAAAGAAUGACUACUUCGUAUAUCCUUUUUGCGACUUGUUGGAAGUCAACACUGAAUCACUCGAAUCCGGUUUCCCUCUUUUUUCGAUGAAGUCUACAGAAUGUGGAGUUCUGGAUUUCUAGCAAUCAGUCUAGGGAAAGUUAUUGGGCUGGGUGCUGGGUUGGAGUAAAAUACCAUCACAAUCUUGCAAGGUGAUUGUUGAUUACAGUUUAAUGGCUACAGUUUAUAGCAGAAAGUCGCAAACCAUCCUAAAUAAAAAUUAUCAUGUGUGCAUACAUAAGUCCGCCCACUUUCCCCUCUCGUAUAUUGCUUCUCCCUUUCCCUCCCUCCCAGUUAGACUGCAUUUAUUAUAGCUAAGUUGGCGACACAUUGUUGAUUGGUUUCUUUGCCUCAGCAUUCUUGAAAUCUUAAUUUCCGCAUUAAUUUCCGCAUCUUUUUUUUUAACCAUAAGAUCUAACCCAUCGUAGAUCCGUAACCCAAUACAAAGUACGUGGAUUUAAAGAAAUGAAAUAAAACAAAACCAAAUCACGUUUGCUGGAUGACUGUUCUUUUUACAGAAUAUAUUCAUGUUCUUCGACUUAAAGUGCCAGAGGGCUUGGUGCUGAAAAACCCAGACUCUUAAUUCUAAAUGCAUUCGAUUCACUGGAAGAAAGGGGCACUGAUUUCAGCACAUUUCCCCCCUUAAACCGAAAUUUUAAGCAUGCAGCUUUAGGCUCGACCACCCUACCAUUGUGAAUUCCACUGAGUUUUAUGAGAGUUUGCCCCCAAGCUCACUGAAAUAAAAUUGAUGGGGGGGUAUUGUAUUUGGGGCUGCUCAUUUCAUUUCCCCCUAAAAAAAGGAGAGAGUUCAUAAAUAGACACGUUAGGACCCCCUCAAGAAAGGAGAAUUCAUCCAGUGGUCAAACGUGGAUAGUUUAAUCACUUCUAGCUGAAAAUGCAGAACAAGGCAAUAAUUUGUUUAAGGAAAAAUAAUCCCAGAAAUGGUCAUGUUCUUAGUGAAGAAGAACCCACCCGUUCACAUGUUGCCUAGAUCUUUUGUACAUUGGUGGUGGGUUCAGUGCCCUUAAAUACCCAUUCACCCAAAGCUCUAAAAAUCUAAUCGUGGUGUGUACACACACCCACACACCAGUGAACUAUAUUUCUCAGGGGCUUCUGUAUGAGUGCUUGGAGCUGGGGGUGGGAGAGAGAAUCCGAACAAAGACAGUAUUUCACUCUUUGGUUGGCAGGCAGCUGUUAAAGGUAUUUACAGCUCUACUGCAUUGCGGCACUGAAUGCUGCUACUGCUAGUGUUAAGAGCUAAAAAACAGGAAGUGAGUGUGGGGUGGUGAGGGGGAGAGGAAAAAGGAAUCGCCAUAAACAGUUCAUUUGGUCAGUGGGACAGAGCUUAAGACAGAAAAUAACACCACAUUGGGGAUAAAUAUCUCCCUAAAAAUCCUUAUGCCGAGUGGCUUUUGAAAACCUGCUUUUUCCUAAAGAGGAAGUAUAGUUUAAUUGGAUGCGAGGGAGAAAAUCUCCCCUUUCAAAAUCUUCCAAGUAGGAAGCUGAGGGCAGCAAACAUGAAACAUGUGUGAGUUAAAGUGCUUGGGGGGGGUGCGUGGGGAGGACACAAACACUUGCAUGAUCUCAGCAUGGGAAGGGAAAAAACGGGUUGAGGGGCUUUCAUUAAAUAAAAAAAGGUGGAAGUGAGAGGAGGGUCCAAGCACUUUAAGGAGAAGGAAAAGCAACGCAUUGUUUUAGAGCUCUUUGUGGCGAUAGCUAAAGCUUUCUAUGGAGAUCAUUAUUGCCCUCCGGUUUUCUCUUGUUUGCAGAC
Molecule: non-coding RNA, 3930 nt
Organism: Podarcis lilfordi (Lilford's wall lizard)
Lineage: Eukaryota; Metazoa; Chordata; Lepidosauria; Squamata; Lacertidae
Source: the annotation of a GenBank genome assembly